Molecule: long non-coding RNA, 418 nt
Filed under: Trifolium pratense (red clover)
Lineage: Eukaryota; Viridiplantae; Streptophyta; Magnoliopsida; Fabales; Fabaceae
Description: long non-coding RNA (TPRA_LNC004046)
Source: RNAcentral
UUUGUAGUUAGGGAUGCAUUUUUUAAACAAAUUUGUGCAAAUAUUAUAAAUAAAAUCUGUCACCCACAAUUUAUUUGUGACGGAAUAUUUUAUAUAACUUUGUCCCAACAUUUAAAAAAUAAGUAAACUUGGGGACGAAAUGUAAGUAAUCUGUCCUCAAAUUGGGACAGAAUUUAAGAAAUCUGUCACAAUAUUGGGACGGAAUGAAAUAUGAGUUUAAUCAAAUGAUUAUAUUCCGUCCCUAAAUCCGUUCCAAAUGUGCGACGAAAGUUAAAAUUCCGUCCCCAACAAAUUGCGACGAGCAAAUUGCGACGAAAAUAUUUUGUCCCAGAUUCCGUCCCAAAUUAUAAUCGUGACGGAAAUUUCUACUGUUGUGCGACGAAAAAUUCCGUCCCAGAUUGAUUUUUUUCUAGUAGUG